RNAcentral lists this ribosomal RNA (137 nucleotides) under uncultured eukaryote. RNAcentral describes it as "partial 18S ribosomal RNA". It matches the Rfam family "Eukaryotic small subunit ribosomal RNA", at positions 1299 to 1458 of the family's 1831-position model. The record is from RNAcentral.
UCGUGGGGUGACUUGUCUGCUUAAUUGCGAUAACGAGCGAGACCUUACUCUGCUAAAUAGCCAGGCCCGCUUUGGCGGGUCGCCGGCUUCUUAGAGGGACUAUCGGCUCAAGCCGAUGGAAGUUUGAGGCAAUAACA